Molecule: non-coding RNA, 482 nt
Organism: Pelobates cultripes (western spadefoot toad)
Lineage: Eukaryota; Metazoa; Chordata; Amphibia; Anura; Pelobatidae
Source: the annotation of a GenBank genome assembly
CUAGGUUAGAGUACUGGCAAUAGGGUCAUAGGCUUCCCAAUAGGUAUUUACCGCUCUUGGCAUUGCCAUCAGUUAGUGGUCCCGUGAGGCCAACACCCCGCCUCAACGUUUCAGAGGCAAUAACCCAUCGGGCCACACGUUAGCUAGCCGCCUCGCAUGUUGCAUAGAGAGGGCCUCACCUGUCACUCCCUCUCCCUGUUUUCUAUGUUACAGUCACCGAGAGGCCUAAAAUUCCUGCCACUACGACGGGUGGCCUCAAAUCCCCUCGCGCCAACGCAUAGAUAGAGCCUCUGAAGCCACUUGGCAACAAGUAGGGCCUCACCUGUCACCAAACAAGUGUAAUGUUUCGCCAUCCGGCUUGGCUAGCCUGCCAGUACAAUUUUGGUGUGGUUUUCAUACACUAAUUAAUUGUUUUGGUUAUAGUAUGUCUCAGGAAGGGGUAGAGGAUUUCUCCCUGCCUAGCACUCCGGCUAGAGCUAUCA